RNAcentral lists this ribosomal RNA (305 nucleotides) under uncultured bacterium. Its description in RNAcentral is "bacterial SSU rRNA". It matches the Rfam family "Bacterial small subunit ribosomal RNA", at positions 337 to 659 of the family's 1533-position model. The record is from RNAcentral.
UCCUACGGGGGGCAGCAGUGGGGAAUAUUGCACAAUGGGGGAAACCCUGAUGCAGCGACGCCGCGUGAGUGAAGAAGUAUUUCGGUAUGUAAAGCUCUGUCAGCAGGGAAGAAAAUGACGGUACCUGACCAAGAAGCCCCGGCUAACUACGUGCCAGCAGCCGCGGUAAUACGUAGGGAGCAAGCGUUAUCCGGAAUUAUUGGGUGUAAAGGGUGCGUAGACGGGAAUACAAGUUGGUUGUGAAAUCCCUCGGCUUAACUGAGGAACUGCAACCAAAACUAUAUUUCUUGAGUGCAGGAGAGGAA